Molecule: long non-coding RNA, 567 nt
Organism: Acanthopagrus latus (yellowfin seabream)
Lineage: Eukaryota; Metazoa; Chordata; Actinopteri; Spariformes; Sparidae
Exons: 3
Source: RefSeq, a predicted model, not a curated record
ACAGCUCCGCAGACCCGGGGCGGUCCUCGCCUGCGGCCACCAAGCCAGGAGCCUCUGACACAGCAGUGGCAGAUACAGAACACACACAGUCAGCAGCAGCUCUGAAGACUCAAGGUCGCCAAGGUCUACAGCAUCAAAGAUGAUCGAGGCAGUGAAAGAUGGAAAACCAGACUGCGGCCAACAUUCUCAGUGUACUCCUCCACUGUGCACUCCAGGCCAUACCCACUGCACUCACAGCUCUCAGCCUUGUCUUUGUGAUCGACGUAUGCGCCGAAACAUGUAAGAAGCUCAUUCCCCAACUCUUAAAAGCAUUUGGCUCUGAGCAGCACAUCACAUGUAGCUCAAAAACACAAGGCCCGGCUCGAUCUGACCACCUUCAGAGAGAGGCACUCAAACAAAAGUUAAAAGAUGAAUGGACAUUUUGAUGAAGACGCAAUAGCCAGAGAGACAGCCCUCAGCUUUACCGAUGCAGACAGACGGGACCAAGUCCAGCGUGAGUUUAAGCUUCUUGUGUUUAUGUGACUGUUGUGUUGCCUGAUUGAAACAUUAACAUUAAUUCAUUUUGUA